ACUGCUAUCGGAUUGAUACUAAGCCAUGCGAGUCUUUGUAGCAAUACAAGGCGGACGGCUCAGUAACACGUAGUCAAUCUAACCUAUGGACGAGGAUAACCUCGGGAAACUGAGAAUAAUACUCGAUAGAUCAUUAUACCUGGAAUGGUUUAUGGUCCAAAUGAAUUUCGCCAUAGGGUGGGACUGCGGUCUAUCAGCUUGUUGGUGAGGUAAUGGCCCACCAAGGCUAUAACAGAUACGGGCUCUGAGAGGAGAGGCCCGGAGAUGGGUACUGAGACACGGACCCAGGCCCUAUGGGGCGCAGCAGGCGGGAAAACUUUGCAAUGUGCGAAAGCACGACAAGGUUAAUCCGAGUGGUUCCUGCUAAAGGAAUCUUUUGUUAGUCGUAACACCACUGAUGAAUAAGGGGUGGGCAAGUUCUGGUGUCAGCCGCCGCGGUAAAACCAGCACCUCAAGUGGUCAGGAGGAUUAUUGGGCCUAAAGCAUCCGUAGCCGGCUUUGUUAGUUUUCGGUUAAAUCUAUAUGCUCAACAUAUGGGCUGCCGGGAAUACUGCAAAGCUAGGGAGUGGGAGAGGUAGACGGUACUCCGUAGGAAGGGGUAAAAUCCUUUGAUCUAUGGAUGACCACCUGUGGCGAAGGCGGUCUACCAGAACACGUCCGACGGUGAGGGAUGAAAGCUGGGGGAGCAAACCGGAUUAGAUACCCGGGUAGUCCCAGCUGUAAACUAUGCAAACUCAGUGAUGCAUUGGCUUGUGGCCAGUGCAGUGCCGCAGGGAAGCCGUUAAGUUUGCCGCCUGGGAAGUACGUACGCAAGUAUGAAACUUAAAGGAAUUGGCGGGGGAGCACCACAAGGGGUGAAG
RNAcentral lists this ribosomal RNA (860 nucleotides) under uncultured archaeon. RNAcentral describes it as "bacterial SSU rRNA". It matches the Rfam family "Archaeal small subunit ribosomal RNA", at positions 26 to 893 of the family's 1478-position model. The record is from RNAcentral.